GGGGAUUUAGCUGCAUGGCAUAAGCUCCUGCCUUGCAAGCAUGAGGUUGUGAGUUCGAUCCCCAUAAUACAUA
Cavia porcellus (domestic guinea pig) is the source of this 73-nucleotide transfer RNA. It matches the Rfam family "tRNA". From Rfam's summary of the family: Transfer RNA (tRNA) molecules are approximately 80 nucleotides in length. Their secondary structure includes four short double-helical elements and three loops (D, anti-codon, and T loops). The record is from Rfam. NCBI's taxonomy places the organism in Eukaryota, Metazoa, Chordata, Mammalia, Rodentia, Caviidae.